Molecule: long non-coding RNA, 715 nt
Organism: Eriocheir sinensis (Chinese mitten crab)
Lineage: Eukaryota; Metazoa; Arthropoda; Malacostraca; Decapoda; Varunidae
Exons: 5
Source: RefSeq, a predicted model, not a curated record
UUCUCUGAUGUUUGUGCCGUGUAUUGGAGACGAAAUAGGGUCAUAGAACGAUAGAAAUGACACUGAAAGAUGUAAAAAAUGGGAAGGUAAACGUUUGAGAGCUAUUUCGUGGAAGUUGGCGAAGUUAUUCCCUUAUGAUAACGUGACUGGCCUUCCUCCCUCGCGGUGAAUUCGCUCCGGCUAGACGCCAUUAAGAGUCAUGUCUAUUUUAUGUGAUUUCGUGGGAUUUAGCCGCUGUAAAGACACGCCAUGGAGAUCAAAGAGAAGUACACCCGAUGGCAGGCCGGACCCUAUCUCUCCUUCGGGGGCCAAGUUGUGAUUUGCUUGGCAGGAGCCGUGGUGCGGAACACUGGAGGCUGAGUGUGACGCUCCUUGUUGGCCGCUAUGAUGAUGAUGUGGUUUGGCUACUACCAGCUGAGAGGCCACAGCAUGCUGUCCUGAAGACCGGCCAGCAACCCGGACUCUAGAGCAGUGGUUUGCAUUGAGACAAGAGGAGGAAGAGGAAGAAGAAGAAGAAGAGGAAGAUGACUUUGAAGACCAGCAGACAGACAGAGAAAAAGACAUUGAAUUGAAUGGCUGGCGUCUCGGUCUGCCUGCCUGCGGGACACCCCACACUCUGGAAGAAGAAAGAACAAGAUGUCAAGUUCCUGCAUAAUCAGCCUCUUAGUGAAGGAAAUGUGCUCUAUUUAUUUAAUAAAUGAUUGACAAAAAAAUA